RNAcentral lists this long non-coding RNA (514 nucleotides) under Ananas comosus (pineapple). RNAcentral's name for it is "long non-coding RNA (ACOM_LNC027978)". Lineage: Eukaryota; Viridiplantae; Streptophyta; Magnoliopsida; Poales; Bromeliaceae. The record is from RNAcentral.
UUAUUUUGACUUGAUCACCACGCAUAACCAACUCUGAAUUGGGUUAGCAUUCAUCUAAAUAAAUUCUAGAUGGAUACUCUAUCCCGACUUUUAUUUAUAGGUCUCAAAGAAUUUUAUCAAAACAAAGAUCCAUAAUUUGCCACAGUUAAUAUUUCAUAUGCUAGUGGCUCAAAUCCAUAUUUAGAGAUAUGGUUAAUCUGAAUUAAAUUUUCAAUGCUUAAUUUAAAAACAUAGCGACAUGGCAGUCGAAAUACAUCAGAAUGCUCAGUUUAAUGACAUGACGGUCAAAUUAUAUUUGAAUGCUCAGUUUAAUGACAUGGCGGUCAAAUUACAUCAAAUGCUCAGUUUAACGACAUGGCGGUCAAAUUACAUUUAAAUGCUCAGUUUAACGACAUGGCGGUCAAAUUACAUUUGAAUACUCAGUUUAAUGACAUGGUGGUCAAAUUACAUUUAAAUGCUCGUGGGAUAAAAAUUCUACAAUUUAUUCCUGAAGUCCAAUGUAACCCAUAUUGUC